Molecule: transfer RNA, 75 nt
Filed under: Clostridia bacterium
Lineage: Bacteria; Bacillati; Bacillota; Clostridia
Description: tRNA-Thr
Rfam family: tRNA
About the family: Transfer RNA (tRNA) molecules are approximately 80 nucleotides in length.
Source: RNAcentral
GCCGGCGUAGCUCAGCGGCAGAGCAGCCGACUUGUAAUCGGCAGGUCGAGGGUUCGACCCCCUCCGCCGGCUCCA